This is a non-coding RNA of Odocoileus virginianus texanus, 392 nucleotides long. The record is from RefSeq and is a predicted model, not a curated record. Lineage: Eukaryota; Metazoa; Chordata; Mammalia; Artiodactyla; Cervidae.
CUGCUUUGGCCUGGCGGGUGUAUCUACGGAGUUCCGUUGCGCGUUGGCAAUUCAUAAUUUAGCCCAGGCAGCAAGUCGGAGAAGGUUUUUAUCCUUCGUUUUCUCACGGACUCAGGGUCUAAUGCGGAAAGAAGCAGACCCCCUCUAAAUAAAAACUGCUGACGGUAAGAACAUAGACCCCACACUGGUUGAAACAAGGAGGCUGCUGAUGCUUGAAACUCUGCCUUGAUGCCAGCCAAUCGCAGCAUCGUCCAGGAGCUGGUCAGCCCUGCUCCUCAAACAGUACUCCAGGGCGGCUCACACGGGAUUGAGGGCGUUAGCCCGCUGUGGCCCCCUUCGCCUGGCAAAGCAAUAAGAAAAGAAAAAAAAAAACGACAAUCCCUAAAAUAGAA